AGAUUGAACGCUGGCGGCAUGCCUUACACAUGCAAGUCGAACGGCAGCACGGGAGCAAUCCUGGUGGCGAGUGGCGAACGGGUGAGUAAUAUAUCGGAACGUGCCCAGUCGUGGGGGAUAACGCAGCGAAAGCUGUGCUAAUACCGCAUACGAUCUAUGGAUGAAAGCGGGGGAUCGCAAGACCUCGCGCGAUUGGGAGCGGCCGAUAUCAGAUUAGCUAGUUGGUGGGGUAAAAGCCCACCAAGGCGACGAUCUGUAGCUGGUCUGAGAGGACGACCAGCCACACUGGAACUGAGACACGGUCCAGCUCUACGGGAGCAGCAGUGGGGAAUUUUGGACAAGUGGGCGCGAAGCCUGACUCCGAGCCAAAGUCGCCGACGUGCGAGGAUGAAGGCCGUUGGGUUAGUAACUGUCGUUUAGUAACGGAACGUAAACGGUCCUUUA
This 444-nucleotide ribosomal RNA is filed under the name uncultured soil bacterium. RNAcentral's name for it is "bacterial SSU rRNA". It matches the Rfam family "Bacterial small subunit ribosomal RNA", at positions 26 to 461 of the family's 1533-position model. The record is from RNAcentral.